RNAcentral lists this ribosomal RNA (371 nucleotides) under uncultured organism. Its description in RNAcentral is "bacterial SSU rRNA". It matches the Rfam family "Bacterial small subunit ribosomal RNA", at positions 527 to 896 of the family's 1533-position model. The record is from RNAcentral.
CGGGGGGGCAAGCGUUGUUCGGAAUUACUGGGCGUAAUGGGCUCGUAGGUGGCCAACUAAGUCAGACGUGAAAUCCCCAGGCUCAACUUGGGAACUGCGUCUGAUACUGGAUGGCUUGAAUUCGGGAGAGGGAUGCAGAAUUCCAGGUGUAGCGGUGAAAUGCGUAGAUAUCUGGAGGAAUACCGGUGGCGAAGGCGGCAUCCUGGACCGAGAUUGACACUGAUGAGCGAAAGCCAGGGGAGCAAACGGGAUCAGAUACCCCGGUAGUCCUGGCCCUAAACGAUGAAUGCUUGGUGUGACGGGUAUCGAUCCCUGUCGUGCCGAAGCUAACGCAUUAAGCAUUCCGCCUGGGGAGUACGGUCGCAAGGCUG